AGUUUGAUCCUGGCUCAGGAUGAACGCUGGCGGCGUGCUUAACACGUGCAAGUCGAACGGAGUAUUGACGCUGACGAGACUUCGGUAAAUCUGUUAAUACUAGUGGCGGACGGGUGAGUAACGCGUGGGUAACCUGCCGUAUGCAGGGGGACAACAGUUGGAAACGACUGCUAAUACCGCAUAAGCGCACGGUUUUGCAUGAAACAGUGUAGAAAAGAAUUUCGGCAUACGAUGGACCCGCGUUUGAUUAGCUAGUUGGUGAGGUAACGGCCCACCAAGGCGACGAUCAAUAGCCGGCCUGAGGAGGGCAAUCGGCCACAGUUGGGACUGAGACACGGACCCAAACUCCGUACGGGAGGCAGCAGGUGGGGAAUAUUGCACAAUGGGGGAAACCCUGAUGCAGCGAACCGCCGCGUGAGUGAAGAAGUAUUUCGGUAUGUAAAGCUCUAUCAGCAGGGAAGAUGAUGACGGUACCUGACUAAGAAGCCCCGGCUAACUACGUGCCAGCAGCGGC
This 514-nucleotide ribosomal RNA is filed under the name uncultured bacterium. RNAcentral's name for it is "bacterial SSU rRNA". It matches the Rfam family "Bacterial small subunit ribosomal RNA", at positions 10 to 518 of the family's 1533-position model. The record is from RNAcentral.